Long non-coding RNA from Neopsephotus bourkii (Bourke's parrot), 3290 nucleotides. RefSeq lists it as uncharacterized. The transcript is spliced from 3 exons. NCBI's taxonomy places the organism in Eukaryota, Metazoa, Chordata, Aves, Psittaciformes, Psittacidae. The record is from RefSeq and is a predicted model, not a curated record.
UGCAGCUCCCCCCGGCACUUGUGCUCCUGAGAACCCCUCUAUAUUUCCUAAUUUCAUCGCUGUGGGGAAUAAUCAACGCCUUGUGGAAGAGCUGCCCUUCAGACAUCACAACUAGCUCUCUGAAAGGACCCACAGCAGCAUGGGCUCUGUGCACGUUUGCAAUACUGAAGUCCCUGUUCUUCAGAACAAGGUUAUAUCUGUGUCUCAGCUGGUGCCUGAGACUUCUGCACACUUGCAUGUCCUGAAUGUGAAAGAAACAAUGAAAGCACUUCUUUCCCUGCUAAGUCCCAUUUCUAUUAAGAUAUCUACAGUAAGGAGUAAAUGCUGAGGCAAAGGUAAGGAUGAUUUAGGACAACACAGUAAAUUCUGCUGCACUCUCAUUGCAGACUCCAAGGUGAGUAGCUCUGUGCAAUGGAACCAUAUUUUUUUAGCUUAAGAACAGUGACCAAUAACGAUUCCUGCCAUAAACUUGAAAACAUGUAAAAGGCUGGUGGGACCUUUCAAAUUAUUACAAUUCUAGGUAGAUUGUGUCAUAAUUUUGAGCUGGUUAAUCCUUUGAAUCUCUAUAAUGAUUGUACUGUAUGGGCUUACACUGUGGCUCACGUUCCAAGCCAGAUCAGGUCUUAGAACUUUUCUUGUAGUGAAAUACCUUCAUUACUUUUUAAGCUCUUCAUUUCUAGCAGAGUGAGAUUGGGGGGAGCUGACCUUUGUUGUCAUUGUAAUACAUGGGCACUGAACUUUGCAUGGAUCUGUUGGAAGAGGGUUUAAUUAGGAAAUACUGUAGUGGUAGAUAGGCUACCAAAGAUAAAUUGUGUCACAUUGCAGUGGUAUCUUUCUCUGAGUUUGUGACCAAGAGAAAUAUAGUCGCUCUAAUUCAUCAAGAUUUCUGUAAAGUGUUUAUUGCAGUGGUUUAAAAUGUGAAAGGAAAGAAUUCAGGCUGGAGAACAUAGGGCACAAUAAAUGUAAAGAAAUGGCUAUAGGAGGAUUGCUGAGAACUGAGCUGAAAGGACUGUCAAGGGAAAAGCACAGUAACGAGCAGAGUAUAUUAAUGAUCAGUCUUGUGACCCAUCUGAACAGUUUUAUUUGUGGCCACAGCAGAAAAUGUGUGCAAAUGCAAAGUCUGGAAGAGACAGAAAGCUGUGAGGCCUUGACAAUUGAGAGAAGGACUGACCCUGACAAGAGGAGAAAUGGAAAAUGGAUAAAAUUAAGUACUAAUAAACCACAAGGUCAUGCAGAUGUUGGUUUUUUUUGCUCUGAGCAGGAGGCUCAUCAGCUGGAAGAAACACAGAAGUGUUUUGCUGAGUCUCACAAUGACUGACAACUGCUGGAGCUCAGCGACAGCAGGGAAGGGAAACGUUCCCUGAGAUGCUCCCCUGGAUGUUGCAUCAGGGGAAGCAUAUCCAGGAAACAUGGGAUUCCUGAGUACUUUUGUACAAGGCACUGGGGAGAUCCAGAAAAAGAGAGUCCAGAAAAAGGGAUAUUACAUUGGGAUAGGAAAUGGGGAAUAAAAGACUCUUUAAGUUUAGCAAAACUAAAACUGAGUAGGGGUAUGUUGCUCUCUAUAAAUAUAUUAUCAGAGUAAGUGGUGAGAGAGAACUGAUUAAAUUAGGGGUGAACUGAAAGCCUUGUGAACAAUUGACAGGAGCCAGCUGAACAAAUGUUCUUUGGAAAAGGGCUAAAGAUUUUUAAUAUCAUGAAGUUUUGGAGCAGCUUUCCAAUAGGAGUCACAGGGUCAAGAAGACUACCUGGUUUCAAGAAAAAUCUUGAGGAAUUUAUCAAUAAGAUUGUGAUGUUGUGAUAUCAAUGAGAUAUGAUGUGUCAAACGUAGCAGCGGAUGACCUGGGAGGACUCUUCCAGCCCUACUUCCUAUGUAAAACUAUUCAGCAGAGCCCCUGGUCUCCAGAGCAUUCUCCUGUAAGAAUACUUCAAUAGCAAGCUGGGGAAAAUGGCUUUUCCUUUGGAUUCUUUCUUUGCCCUUAUCUAUACAGAAGACAUAGAUCUGAUCAAAGUGCCAAUGAAUCUUGUGGUAGGUUGGAUGCAGAUCUCUAUUAUCUGUAUGACAAUACCUCUCAGAGGUCCUUCUCAUUACUGGGGCCCAGCUAUUUUCCAUGACCUGACUUUUAUGAUCCCUGUUCAUCUCUUAGCUAAAUCCAUCUGAAGCUGUUUCCUUGAUAGCCCCUUUAAUAUUUUGCAGGUUUCUUACAGUUCUUGUAUUCAUGUAAUCUUCUGAGGUUCUUCAAAGCAAACCAAACCAUCUUCUGCCUUUCAGGGUGCCAUCAGCUAGCCAAACCCAUGAGUAGAUCCCUAAUUCUCCAAGACAAGAUCAAUAGCAAAUCACCCUCCACUAUCCUGAAAAGAUCUGACAACUCAGUCUAGUUGUAGCUACUGAAAGAACUGUUAAUAAUGGAUGAUGACUGACAAAAUUCAUAGGUGUUAAAGGAGAUAUACCAGGAGCACGGUGCUCAUGGGUGCUGCUCAUUGAUUGACAGCCCCACCAGGUUAGAGGUUACCCGUGGAAUAUAGCCUUGAUGGCCUAGGAUGAAAUGUUCCUUCUGACCCUUCUGUAAGCUAGUGAUAUAAAGCGCUGGCUAACAUAUCAUUAACUUGCAACACCAUGAUGAUGGGAUUAAGACCCAGAGGGCUUUAUCUCUACCUUAUUAAUGGCAAUUAAAAGCUGCGUGACAGUUUUAAAACUUGUUGAUGUAAGGAAAGUUAGUACCUGUCUUCCAGCAGCACAGUAAAUAAUUGUCUGGUUGCUUUGCUUUUCGUAAUCUGCCCGUGCAGCUGUAUAUUAUCAUUAUUUUGCUGCAAAUACAGCUUUUCGAUUUAUCAACAGAAGAGCAGGUAAGGCUCUAUGUAAAUAAUAAUGAAGGACACUUCCAGGUUGGAUUUUUUCCCGUUCAGACUGCAGAGCGUGAAAGAAGCAGAGGAUUUUCAAAACUAAUAUCUGUUAGAGCUGGUUUUCAACACCUAAUUCCCCCAGAAGUUUUAAACCCAGUUUUAGUUACUGCAGACUUCUCCUGGCUAAUUCAGAGGGAAGGUAUUAAAAACUCUCCCUAACCCUCUUUAGAUGUGAGUGUUUAUCCCUUGUUGGGUGCUAACCAUUGGUGGAGCUAUACUGGUUUCAUGGCAAGAAGUUUCAUGCCUCUCAUCCUUCCACAUAUACAAGGAAAUGUGACUACUGACACAGCAAUGCUGAGUGCUAUGAGCCAGAACCAGCUCUUUACAUGCUGCUUCUGUUAAAAUCUCGGUCCACAUUAGAAAGAAAUGAUCGAACUUAAAUGUGUGCU